CCCUCUCUCCCCAGCCUCCGCUCUUAGGACGGGGAUCAAGACAGGUAAAACCCAAAAGAGAUCGCGUCGAAGCCCUGCCUAGGGUUGCAGCCUUAAAACUUAAUCAGCCUAGUUUGUUAGUGGCGUGUCCGUCCGCAGCUGGCAAGCGAAUGUAAAGACUGUCUAAGCAUGUAGUACCGAGGAGGUAGGAAUUUCGGCCGCGGGUUCACCCCCCGCCAGCUCCACCA
This 227-nucleotide transfer-messenger RNA is filed under the name Escherichia coli. RNAcentral's name for it is "partial transfer-messenger RNA". It matches the Rfam family "transfer-messenger RNA", at positions 141 to 374 of the family's 374-position model. From Rfam's summary of the family: Bacterial tmRNA, also known as 10Sa RNA or SsrA, is named for its dual tRNA and mRNA-like properties. Its role is to liberate the mRNA from a stalled ribosome. To accomplish this part of the tmRNA is used as a reading frame that ends in a translation stop signal. The record is from RNAcentral. Lineage: Bacteria; Pseudomonadati; Pseudomonadota; Gammaproteobacteria; Enterobacterales; Enterobacteriaceae.